AUGGACUGGACCUGAAGGAUCCUCUUCUUGAUGGCAGCAGCAACAGGUGCCCACUCCCUGCAGCUGGUGCAGUCUGGGCCUGAGGUGAAGAAGCCUGGGGCCUCAGUGAAGGUCUCCUAUAAGUCUUCUGGUUACACCUUCACCAUCUAUGGUAUGAAUUGGGUAUGAUAGACCCCUGGACAGGGCUUUGAGUGGAUGUGAUGGAUCAUCACCUACACUGGGAACCCAACGUAUACCCACGGCUUCACAGGAUGGUUUGUCUUCUCCAUGGACACGUCUGUCAGCACGGCGUGUCUUCAGAUCAGCAGCCUAAAGGCUGAGGACACGGCCGAGUAUUACUGUGCGAAGUA
This is a non-coding RNA of Homo sapiens (human), 350 nucleotides long. The record is from the annotation of a RefSeq genome assembly. NCBI's taxonomy places the organism in Eukaryota, Metazoa, Chordata, Mammalia, Primates, Hominidae.